This is a long non-coding RNA of Ruditapes philippinarum (Manila clam), 962 nucleotides long. RefSeq lists it as uncharacterized. The transcript has 3 exons. Lineage: Eukaryota; Metazoa; Mollusca; Bivalvia; Venerida; Veneridae. The record is from RefSeq and is a predicted model, not a curated record.
AACUGUACAAAGGUCUCGGAUUGUAGUUUAAAUGCUAGCUGUGAUAAAGUUGGAAGUCCUUGCAAAUGUAAUGACGGGUUUGUUGCUGCAAGUGGAUUGUGUGCGAAACCGUCGUCAGCGGUAUCAUCCAGUGUAGCUUUGAGUACCGUAUGUAUACUGAUGAUGUUGAAUGUUAUCUAUAAACUUUUGUAAAGGUCAUGCCGACAAAGAUGGAUAAAGGGAGAGUAUUAAGCGCGUGUGUGUAUAUUCAUUCUAUUUUGUUUUUCUCUCUCUAAACUUAAGAUAAUUUCUGAAUAUUUUUUACAGUUUUGUUAGGUAGCGAUUUAUGACAUUGCUCUUUAGGCAUAAAGUACUUAUUUCAAUUAACUUGUUGUAGUUUCGUACACUACAAUUAUUUAGAUACAGAUGAUGCUCAGAUGAAGAUUAAGGGACUCUACUUAGGUUGUUUAGACUAGACUACGUGACUAGAAAUAAUUAUGUUUAAUGCCGUUUAAUAGAGGUUGAUAACUAUUCCGAUUUUGAAAAGUUCAAUAUUAUCUAAAAAUGAAAAGCAUUUAACCCAUUACUUCAUGAGCAUUUUGUGAAAAAUGGCUGUUUUCAUUGAAAAGUCUCCCGUUACAAGUUCAAAUUGCUAUAAUUCUAUAAAAACUGCUUCAACACUAAUCAAACUUGGCACAGAUGUUUACUGGACCAUUGCCCUUGAAACAACGUGCUCAGGCUUUAAUUUUCUGUUACCAUGGCAACAAGGGGACAUCUCAAAAUUGCCAAAAAAUCACUAUUUUGCGUUGAUCUUUUCCAUCAAAAUUGAUUUCAAAGCGCUGCAACUUCUCAAUGGAUUGAGAUAGAGUCAAAUGCUUUUCAGCGUUGGUUACACGUUACCUUAUGAUCAAUCUAGGGUCAUUUAUAGCCUCUCACAAGUCCAAAAUUUUCUUGGCGAUGAGGGGGACUCCGCCCCUUCAACC